RNAcentral lists this long non-coding RNA (1761 nucleotides) under Sorghum bicolor (sorghum). RNAcentral's name for it is "long non-coding RNA (SBIC_LNC000960)". The record is from RNAcentral. Lineage: Eukaryota; Viridiplantae; Streptophyta; Magnoliopsida; Poales; Poaceae.
GAGGGUUUGGGUUCAUUGGUUGGUGAGAGCUCCUGGUCUUGCUGAGCAAGGCCUUCCUUUUAUUCUUUGCCUUUUCACCAUUCAAUAAAACUAUAGAAGAUUACAUGCUCUUCACUCAUCAACCUUUUCCUGACUUCUUUGAUUAAUUUGCGGUUGAUGAGCUGGGGUCUAUUGGAGAUGUGAUAAUGCUCAUUUGAAAACUUCUUCUCCAAUAGAUUAAGGUUGCUCUUUCCGGCAAAAUGUUAAUGGACACAUACCCAAGGGAAUAGCAAGAUUGAAAUAUGGGUUUUGUUGUCCAUACCUUUUUUUCUGAUUUUAUUUUUUUUAUUUUCUUCUAUGCUAAUCAAGAUGAUAUAUGAUUUAAGAUUAUUUAGCAUAAAUUGUGUCUAUUGUGUUUUUUAUUGUUGUUGCAAUCUAGCUGGUUCAAGGCAAAGAUAACUUGUAACAAAAGAUAAAUAAAUAUUACUACUCACAAGAUGGACUUUUUUGUGCAAAGUUAUCAUCUGCCUUGAUCCAUCCUCGGUGUGAACUUAUCUAUUGACUUUCCCAUAUUUAAUUCAAAAUUUCCCUGCAGGGGUUAGUCUGACAAAAUAUCCAGUAUCCACUACAACAUAUUAUCGGCUCAAAAAUCAACCUAGACACCACGUCUAAUUUGAUUAAAGAAGGCAUUUUAACCACGUCUAAUUAAAAGCCUUUGAUAGCAAGAUCAUCACUCCUAAACUAGGCACCAUACUUUAUUUAAGAGAUAAAUGAAACUACUCCAAACCUAAACAUAUACUAUAGCAAACAAAGGUGACAUGAAAGAUUAUAGAGAUUUAUUCAAAUAGAGAUAAAAUAGCAUGAUCAUGGUGAGUUUUUUUAUAUAAUGCAUGUGAGAUGAAUAUAUGAAAUGGAACAAGUUAUGGCUGAGGAAAUUUCAACUAAAUAGUGUGAACAUAUGGAUUAAUGCAAACAUGCAGUGGAAUAUAAAAGAUAACUACUCAUAAUUGUUGAAGUCCAUGAGCAAAACUUUCUCACCUUUAUUUGAUCAUACUUACCAUGACUCACAUUGUGGAAUUUGUGAGUGAUGCAACAUCUUUGUUCCCGUCACUUGAGAUAUGAAUUAAAGUCAUGUGACGUCGACCUCUUUCUCCAACAUUGGAUUUGAUAUGUUUCUUCUUAUUUUGUGGGGGCAUGCCGGAAGGUCAUAAACUGGUCAUUUAUUACCCUACAUAAGAUAUAAAAGUAGACAAACAAGGGUAAUCCUGCUUGAGCAGGGGUUAAUGGUUAUCUCGAUCACAUAAUUGAGUAUAAGUCUAUCAAUGUUCCUUAAUUGCCUAGUUACCUUCCCCGGCAACGGCACCAAAAAUGCUUGUUGGUAUAAAUUAACUACAUUCCUUCAAAUAAGAGUUAAGUAAGAUUAUCCGCAAGCGCACAGAUAUCGUACCAAUGUCACAUUUUACCUGGGGGUUUUAAAUAUCGUAUCCACAGCGAUGGUCUAUAUGUAGGACUUAUAACUAUAAUUUAUACUAUGGAAUUCUAUCUAGUGCAAACUCAUCUCUCGUGCAAACUGUGCAAACUCUAAUCUGGACCGCAGGAUGUUGAUCUAAGGGGGCGCAUGAGAGAGGUGGAAUGAGGGAUUUGUAAAAGUGUGAUUAAGAGCGGGCGGUUAAGUGCAAAAUUACCCAAUCUCUUAGCGCCCCUUGGAUCAACAUCCUGUGGUCCAGAUUAGAGUUUGCACAGUUUGCACAUGAGAUAAGUUUGCACUAGAUCCGUUGCCUU